RNAcentral lists this ribosomal RNA (464 nucleotides) under Vreelandella stevensii. RNAcentral describes it as "partial 16S ribosomal RNA". It matches the Rfam family "Bacterial small subunit ribosomal RNA", at positions 338 to 795 of the family's 1533-position model. Lineage: Bacteria; Pseudomonadati; Pseudomonadota; Gammaproteobacteria; Oceanospirillales; Halomonadaceae. The record is from RNAcentral.
CCUACGGGAGGCAGCAGUGGGGAAUAUUGGACAAUGGGCGAAAGCCUGAUCCAGCCAUGCCGCGUGUGUGAAGAAGGCCUUCGGGUUGUAAAGCACUUUCAGUGGGGAAGAAAGCCUUGGGGCUAAUACCCUCGAGGAAGGACAUCACCCACAGAAGAAGCACCGGCUAACUCCGUGCCAGCAGCCGCGGUAAUACGGAGGGUGCGAGCGUUAAUCGGAAUUACUGGGCGUAAAGCGCGCGUAGGCGGUCUGAUAAGCCGGUUGUGAAAGCCCCGGGCUCAACCUGGGAACGGCAUCCGGAACUGUCAGGCUAGAGUGCAGGAGAGGAAGGUAGAAUUCCGGUGUAGCGGUGAAAUGCGUAGAGAUCGGGAGGAAUACCAGUGGCGAAGGCGGCCUUCUGGACUGACACUGACGCUGAGGUGCGAAAGCGUGGGUAGCAAACAGGAUUAGAUACCCCGGUAGUC